Molecule: microRNA, 20 nt
Filed under: Callorhinchus milii (elephant shark)
Lineage: Eukaryota; Metazoa; Chordata; Chondrichthyes; Chimaeriformes; Callorhinchidae
Description: eshark_NOVEL_201
Source: RNAcentral
CGGUGGAGAGCUCAAAGUCA